Molecule: ribosomal RNA, 524 nt
Filed under: uncultured bacterium
Lineage: Bacteria
Description: partial 16S ribosomal RNA
Rfam family: Bacterial small subunit ribosomal RNA
Source: RNAcentral
GACGAACGCUGGCGGCGUGCCUAAUACAUGCAAGUCGAGCGCAGGAAAUCGACGGAACCCUUCGGGGGGAAGUCGACGGAAUGAGCGGCGGACGGGUGAGUAACACGUAAAGAACCUGCCCUCAGGUCUGGGAUAACCACGAGAAAUCGGGGCUAAUACCGGAUGGGUCAUCGGACCGCAUGGUCCGAGGAUGAAAGGCGCUUCGGCGUCGCCUGGGGAUGGCUUUGCGGUGCAUUAGCUAGUUGGUGGGGUAAUGGCCCACCAAGGCGACGAUGCAUAGCCGACCUGAGAGGGUGAUCGGCCACACUGGGACUGAGACACAGCCCAGACUCCUACGGGAGGCAGCAGUAGGGAAUCUUCCACAAUGGACGAAGGUCUGAUGGAGCAACGCCGCGUGAACGAUGAAGGCCUUCGGGUCGUAAAGUUCUGUUGUAAGGGAAGAACAAGUGCCGCAGGCAAUGGCGGCACCUUGACGGUACCUUGCGAGAAAGCCACGGCUAACUACGUGCCAGCCGCCGCCGUAA